Molecule: ribosomal RNA, 487 nt
Filed under: uncultured bacterium
Lineage: Bacteria
Description: bacterial SSU rRNA
Rfam family: Bacterial small subunit ribosomal RNA
Source: RNAcentral
GAUGAACGCUAGCGACAGGCCUAAACAUGCAAGUCGAGGGGCAGCACGGUGUAGCAAUACACGGGUGGCGACCGGCGCACGGGUGAGUAACGCGUAUGCAACCUGCCUACUACAAGGGGAUAACCCGUUGAAAGACGGACUAAUACCCUAUAACACAGGGAAUCCGCAUGGAUAUAUUUGUUAAAGAUUUAUCGGUAGUAGAUGGGCAUGCGUUCCAUUAGCUUGUUGGUGAGGUAACGGCUCACCAAGGCAACGAUGGAUAGGGGAACUGAGAGGUUGAUCCCCCACACUGGAACUGAGACACGGUCCAGACUCCUACGGGAGGCAGCAGUGAGGAAUAUUGGUCAAUGGACGAGAGUCUGAACCAGCCAAGUCGCGUGAAGGAAGACGGCCCUACGGGUUGUAAACUUCUUUUGUAAGGGAAUAAAUAGUCUUACGCGCUAAGACGUUGCAGGUACCUUACGAAUAAGGAUCGGCUAACUCCGUG